RNAcentral lists this ribosomal RNA (507 nucleotides) under Streptomyces sp. 306B03. Its description in RNAcentral is "bacterial SSU rRNA". It matches the Rfam family "Bacterial small subunit ribosomal RNA", at positions 93 to 614 of the family's 1533-position model. The record is from RNAcentral. Lineage: Bacteria; Bacillati; Actinomycetota; Actinomycetes; Kitasatosporales; Streptomycetaceae.
UAGUGGCGAACGGGUGAGUAACACGUGGGCAAUCUGCCCUUCACUCUGGGACAAGCCCUGGAAACGGGGUCUAAUACCGGAUACGACCUGCCGAGGCAUCUCGGCGGGUGGAAAGCUCCGGCGGUGAAGGAUGAGCCCGCGGCCUAUCAGCUUGUUGGUGGGGUAAUGGCCUACCAAGGCGACGACGGGUAGCCGGCCUGAGAGGGCGACCGGCCACACUGGGACUGAGACACGGCCCAGACUCCUACGGGAGGCAGCAGUGGGGAAUAUUGCACAAUGGGCGAAAGCCUGAUGCAGCGACGCCGCGUGAGGGAUGACGGCCUUCGGGUUGUAAACCUCUUUCAGCAGGGAAGAAGCGAAAGUGACGGUACCUGCAGAAGAAGCGCCGGCUAACUACGUGCCAGCAGCCGCGGUAAUACGUAGGGCGCAAGCGUUGUCCGGAAUUAUUGGGCGUAAAGAGCUCGUAGGCGGCUUGUCACGUCGGGUGUGAAAGCCCGGGGCUUAACC